UACGGAGGGUGCAAGCGUGAUCCGGAUUCACUGGGUUUAAAGGGUGCGUAGGCGGGCAGGUAAGUCCGUGGUGAAAUCUCUGAGCUUAACUCAGAAACUGCCAUGGAUACUAUUUGUCUUGAAUAUUGUGGAGGUAAGCGGAAUAUGUCAUGUAGCGGUGAAAUGCUUAGAUAUGACAUAGAACACCAAUUGCGAAGGCAGCUUACUACACAGUUAUUGACGCUGAGGCACGAAAGCGUGGGGAUCAAACAGG
RNAcentral lists this ribosomal RNA (253 nucleotides) under uncultured bacterium. Its description in RNAcentral is "partial 16S ribosomal RNA". It matches the Rfam family "Bacterial small subunit ribosomal RNA", at positions 524 to 776 of the family's 1533-position model. The record is from RNAcentral.